This 537-nucleotide long non-coding RNA is filed under the name Fukomys damarensis (Damara mole-rat). RNAcentral's name for it is "lncRNA (ENSFDAG00000023485.1)". Lineage: Eukaryota; Metazoa; Chordata; Mammalia; Rodentia; Bathyergidae. The record is from RNAcentral.
CAGGGAGGCUAACAGUGGAUCAGAAGCACUGAUAACCAGUAAGAGAUUUUAUUGAUCACUUUUUCUGUACAUGGCUCUGUCAAAUACUGUCAGGGAUACAAGGAACUAACCAUGAUAUUCCCCAGUGGUUUAUUAUCUACUAAAUUAACAUUUUUCUAUAUAGAGCUGAGUACACCAUUUGUUGAAUUAUUUUCUAUUCUUUAAAUACGCCCUACUUUAUUUCAUAGUGAAAUAUUGGGACAGCCUACUCACGUUGGGAGUACAAUAUUUCAUCAGUCUCUCCCUUUUGACCCAGCUGAUCCAGAGGCCUCAGCUAAAGUUCUCCUCGGGAAUAUUUUCCUAAACCUGCAAGCUCAGAUAGAAUCCAGCUGGGUGUACGACCGCUUGGCUCUCUGUGGCAGUAUUCCAUCGAGUCCUACGCUGGUGACCUCACACAGUGCCCAGAAGCCCAUGUCCGCAGACAGCCAGCCUACCGGAAGUCAUGUAAGCCAUGUUUUCAAAUGGCACCACACCAUGUUGAUACUUUUACAUGACAGA